UGCUGUGGAUCCUUCUGUUCUAUGACAGAUUUUGGUGAACCAGGUUCAGUGCAUCUUUAUCAACCUCUGGUGAUGCUUUUCUCCUUCAGCCUGCGAAGGCUUGAAGCAGCAGUGAACAUCCAUGGGCUGAAAACUACAACCUGGAGAUGGGCUACUGACUGGGAAGGGGCUGCUGUCCACUAUGGACAUCUCAUUGAAAACCCUCAUGGAGAUGGAGGGGGAGGUGGAAGUGGAGAUGGAGGGGGAGAUGGAGAUGGAGGUGGAGAUGGAGGGGGAGAUGGAGGGGGAGGUGGAGAUGGAGAUGGAGGUGGAGGUGGAGAUGGAGAUGGAGGUGGAGAUGGAAGUGAAGAUGGAGGUGGAGGUGGAGACUGAGUUUUUCUUCCACACUUAACUCACUGGUGAACUGGAUUGAACUGGAUCAAAAGAGAGGGAUGCCAUGGUUUUCUAGGAGGAGAUCUGCCUCACACCUCCAUGAUGUUACCUCCACUGGGUCAAGCAGCUCCCAGUAUGGACCUUUGUGAGCCCAGUUUGUGGUGCUGUCUCCACCCCUGGGGAGAAUGUUACCCCAGCCACGAGUGGUCCUAGCCUGGACAUGGUGGGAUGGGCUGGGUUAUCUCUCAGGGCCCUCACCCUGCUUUGAGCAAACCAGAAGACCUCAGGAAACGUGAAAACUUCCUCCGUCCUUCAUAUGUGCAUCUCUGCUGAGCAUUGUGCAGAACCCCUCAGCCCCCCCCCAGCCCUCCCUCGCAGGUGAGCUUUGGGCAUGCAGACCCCAUCCUGGACCCAGCGGUGCUCCGGUGCCAUUGGUCUCAUUGGUCCUCAGAUCAAUGGGG
Molecule: long non-coding RNA, 833 nt
Filed under: Gallus gallus (chicken)
Lineage: Eukaryota; Metazoa; Chordata; Aves; Galliformes; Phasianidae
Description: lncRNA (ENSGALG00010003781.1)
Source: RNAcentral